Long non-coding RNA from Papilio polytes (common Mormon), 420 nucleotides. RefSeq lists it as uncharacterized. The record is from RefSeq and is a predicted model, not a curated record. Lineage: Eukaryota; Metazoa; Arthropoda; Insecta; Lepidoptera; Papilionidae. The transcript has 3 exons.
GUGCGUUAUUUUUGCAAACGGCGCGCUGCGAGAUACGCGCGGUCAGGGUAAGGACGAAUGCAGUGACGUGAUAAACCUAAUCUAGACAGUCGCCGGCCGCCGCGCCGCCGCAACGCUGGAACAUACUAAAAUAACAUCGACAACCAAGUAAACAAUUUAUUUACAUUAAAGUCUACAGACGAGGAAAGCUAUAGUAAACGUAUAGUGAAUUUAAUGAUUAAAUCAGAGUGAGGUGUUGCACAAAUGGAAGAAAUCUCCCCAACGACGGAGGUGGUCAUCCGCGAUGCCAGGAUAGAUGAUAUGCCGGAGGUAGACAAAAUGAUACAGGAACUGGCUGUUUAUGAGAAAUUGACCGACGAUGCGAGACUAAACGCUGCAGACUUAGUGCGCGACGGAUUUGAGUCCCCGGCGGCGUUCGGC